This 254-nucleotide ribosomal RNA is filed under the name uncultured bacterium. RNAcentral's name for it is "partial 16S ribosomal RNA". It matches the Rfam family "Bacterial small subunit ribosomal RNA", at positions 524 to 776 of the family's 1533-position model. The record is from RNAcentral.
CACGUAGGGUGCGAGCGUUGUCCGGAAUUAUUGGGCGUAAAGAGCUCGUAGGCGGUGUGUCGCGUCGGCCGUGAAAACCUGCAGCUUAACUGUGGGCUUGCGGUCGAUACGGGCAUCACUGGAGUUCGGCAGGGGAGACUGGAAUUCCUGGUGUAGCGGUGAAAUGCGCAGAUAUCGGGAGGAACACCCGUAGCGAAGGCGGCACUCUGGGCCGGAACUGACGCUGAGGAGCGAAAGCGUGGGGAGCAAACAGG